ACUCAAAGGAAUAGACGGGGGCCCGCACAAGCGGCGGAGCAUGCGGAUUAAUUCGAUGCAACGCGAAGAACCUUACCAAGGCUUGACAUCACCUAGAAUCAUGCAGAGAUGUGUGCGCCUUUUAGGCUGGGUGACAGGUGGUGCAUGGUUGUCGUCAGCUCGUGUCGUGAGAUGUUGGGUUAAGUCCCGCAACGAGCGCAACCCUUGUCUCAUGUUGCCAGCACGUUAUGGUGGGGACUCAUGGGAGACUGCCGGGGCCAACUCGGAGGAAGGUGGGGAUGACGUCAAAUCAUCAUGCCCCUUAUGUCUUGGGCUUCACGCAUGCUACAAUGGCCGGUACAACGGGUUGCGAUGCCGUAAGGCGGGGCGAAUCCCUAAAAGCCGGUCUCAGUUCGGAUUGGGGUCUGCAACUCGACCCCAUGAAGUCGGAGUCGCUAGUAAUCGCAGAUCAGCAACGCUGCGGUGAAUACGUUCCCGGGCCUUGUACACACCGCCCGU
RNAcentral lists this ribosomal RNA (498 nucleotides) under uncultured bacterium. Its description in RNAcentral is "bacterial SSU rRNA". It matches the Rfam family "Bacterial small subunit ribosomal RNA", at positions 899 to 1397 of the family's 1533-position model. The record is from RNAcentral.